This 254-nucleotide ribosomal RNA is filed under the name uncultured bacterium. Its description in RNAcentral is "partial 16S ribosomal RNA". It matches the Rfam family "Bacterial small subunit ribosomal RNA", at positions 524 to 776 of the family's 1533-position model. The record is from RNAcentral.
UACGAAGGGGGCUAGCGUUGUUCGGAAUUACUGGGCGUAAAGCGCGCGCAGGCGGCCUUCCAAGUCAGGGGUGAAAUCCCAGAGCUCAACUCUGGAAUUGCCUCUGAGACUGUGAGGCUUCGAGUACGGGAGAGGUGAGUGGAAUUCCCAGUGUAGAGGUGAAAUUCGUAGAUAUUGGGAAGAACACCGGUGGCGAAGGCGGCUCACUGGCCCGUUACUGACGCUCAGGCGCGACAGCGUGGGGAUCAAACAGG